AGGUCAAGCUGAUAACAGCACACAUAGAAUAUCGCUUGUAUACUUAUCUUCGCUCCUACACACCGUUCCGUUUCUCAAAACUUUAUAAUACGCUUCAUUUCGUAUACAGUUAUUUCGAAAUAAAUGGAUACUACUACGACUGUUCUCGUAGUCAGACUAUUAUUAGCUAGAUGAGUUAUAUAGUACCUAGCUUUUAUGAUUGUUUGUCUACUAUUAUUUUUAUCGUAAACAUAGAUUACUAUAAGAGCGCUGCUUCGUGUGCAUGUGCGUGCGCCGCCAUCUUUAGUGUACUUAUACUAUUUCCUUGUUACUUUCAUGCCUAGUAUAGCAAUGCUACUACGGUACAACUAUGGUGUAGUCGUGCUAUUAUAGCAUAAUCGGGGCCUGAAUUUAUCUAUUUGGUUGACAAAAUUAAUUCAAAGGUAUGUCAUAACUUGCGCCAAUUAUGGCAGAAACGAGAAACGGAAAUACGAGACACGGUUUUGUAAAUCGGUUCCUCGGUGAAUGGAUUAACGCGAUCGUGUGCUGUCAACUUCCGCUCCCACGGACACUGUUCGACCAACAUCUAGAAUCGUUCGCUAAAGUGCUUAAUUGCUCCUAGCAAGGAAAAGGAUCUUCUAUUUUUAAAAAGACUUCAUUUUUCACGUUCCUCGCGACAGAAUUGAGACGCAUCGAUUACUUCGACGAGUGUUUGCACGAUUAGCAAAAAGAAAAACAAGGUGAAAAUAUAGUCGUUUGAAAAAUAGCGAAAAACCUCGAUAGUGUUAAAAAAUGAAGCAUUGAAAGAAAACCAUUUAUUUGGAAUGUCUGACAAGUGGAGACUACGCGUUAAAAAGAAAGUAAAGAAUAAUAUUAAUCCCCGUAUCGACGGUCUACGGGGGGCGUGAAAGUCGUGGAACGAGGGUUAAUCGAAUAGAAAACUGGCAAACCGAGCUGCCUGAUGGAAGUCAUCGUAGAUAAGCUGUUAUCGGCAGGCAUGCGUGCAUACGUACGCCGGCACUUAAUUUCGUGUCGGACUGUUUGCUUUAUCGCAAUCGUGUACCUGCAGCGUUCAUUGCUCACGUACGUUUUUACGCGUCCGAUAAAUACGCCCCCCCCCCUUCUUGUGGAAAAAAAAAUGGGCCACCGUACGUAACGCGUGUCGUAAACGUCUGGAAAUAUCUCCAAAGGUUGCCUACGCGAAUAUAAAGCACUCGGUAUUUAACGAUUUACGAGUGGGACGAAUACUUGUUCGCGGACCAAUACGACUGGACACCGAACCGAGACGACUGGAGGGUUCCCGCUGAAUUUUCAUCUUUCUCGACUAUUUGCGCGACGACACAUGGUUUCUGUUACUCCCACGUGGCCUAAACGACGCCAGGCAAGUGGAUCUAAGGUUGGAUUCGCGAUUGGAGCGAAUUUGUUUCGCGGAUCGAUACAACUGAAGGGCAAUAGGUCGUAAAUCAAUGGUCUGGAAUGACUGGAAACGUUGGACGUAGUAUCGUAGAACGAUUUGCAGUGGAAAUUUGUCCCUGACAGGAACUAUUAUCUAUCGCGGCGCAGUGGCUCCGUUCGAUGUUAGGACAGUCUAGAAAUAUCGUUCGUUGAAUUCCUUGAUACUGUAGUCACUAGCGGAUUCGGCGUAUGAUGUAACUUAGGUCUUUUCCAGCGGGAGACUGCUUUCAGUACGUUAGAGAAGAGUUCGCUGUAUAAUUAGAAAAGAAUCGAAAGCGAAAAAUGUUGAACUGAAUUUUAACGACGCCGAAAAGUAUUCUAGGAAAAUAUAAUAAUACAUACAUGGAGCUCGCGUGUUCCUUUGUAUACGUCUCGUUGAGAAAAUUAACGUUGCACGGUUAGUUUUACCAUGGCAAUUUCGCGUCAAGUGAAAAGCGAGAAAGUUGAAUUUAUCAUUCCGCAGGCCAACAUUUCGUUUCACUCCGUAAACGUCUACAAGGUUUUUUACCUUCUGCUUUAAUUUCACGUUCCACUGCGUGAAUCUUUAUCUGAAUAAAAAUUACACGUGUCGAACAAGAGAUUGAAAAUCGUUAUCUGUUACGUGGCCGAAUAAAUAUAACCCGAGUUAUUUAGAACUCCAAGAAAAACCAGAUUUUUAUAUUGUCUUUAGUCGAGGAAUGAAUUUACUUGGAACGAAUGUUGUUACGUGUUCAUCGCAUAAAGAUAAUUGUGAAUAUUAUAUAAUACGCGAGGAGCUGCGAAAACUGGAACAACCCCUCGUAACUCGUUCAAUGCAAGAUGGCCUAUGAGCAAUGUUGGAUUGCUUUAUCUGCUUCCUCCGAUAGUGCUCGCACAGUGGCUGAUAAAAGUCAAUGACAGAGAAAAUGCCUCCAUCGAAAACGAGCCACACGAUUUAAGCAACGCCCACGCAAUUUUAAAAAAAAAUUACUCUCCAACCCAAAAUGACGGAGUACCGAGUGAAAGUUAAAGUCGGGGAGAUUACAGAGCGAUUCCAUGACUCCCCAGUUGCCCAUCUGCCAUCUUGUCUCACACGAAUUGUACAAGUUUAAAACGUGGUGAAAUAAUACGAAAAUAAUGGAGCACCGAGUGAAAGUAAAAGUCGAGAGGAUUACAGAGCGAUCCCGUGGCUCCCCAGUUGUCCAUCCGCCAUCUUAUCUCCCAGGCAUAGUACAAGUCCAAAACACAAUAUACAUUGCGAUAUUUCCCACUCAAAUUAAAAGAAAAAUACUAUUCUACCUACAUUUUAUUCAUUGAUAUUUCAUGAGGUGAAAUAAUACGAAAUAAUGGAGUACGAGUGCAAACGUUGGAGGGAUUACAGAGCGAUCCCGUGGCUCCCCAGUUGUCCAUCCGCCAUUUUGUCUCCCAGGCAUAGUACAAGUCCAACACACAAUAUACAUCGCGAUAUUUCCCACUCAAAUUAAAAGAAAAAGUACGAGUGGAAACUUUGGAGGAAUUACAGAGCGAUCCCGUGGCUCCCCAUUUGCCUAUCCGCCAUCUUGUCUCCCAGGCAUAGUACAAGUCAAAAACACAAUAUACAUCGCAAAAUUGGUGUCGAAUCGUAGUACAAGCUAGCAAUUUUUAAUGGUUGCAACAGUUAUCUGCAGAUAGCUCACCACGUCCUCGAGGAAGCCUUCGUGGUUGGCUAUCGCGUCUUUAAUGGCAACAGUUUCGCGCUGAAAGAACCAUUUUCACGGUUAGUUUCAUAAAUACGAGUCUGUGCCGUGGACAAAGUCCGCGUAGACAAUGUAGCAAUUGUUUCUAUCAUCUUCGCAGACGAAUCGACGUUUUCGCAUCGAAUUCUCGGAGCCGUCCACGGAUCUAAGGAACGCACGUUUCGGUGUUCCGUGCGAUCCUGGAAUAAAUGGCGAACGCGUCGAGAAUCCAAAACGCGUUGUUCGACUUUCGAGGAAAGGUGCGCGACAUCUAGAUGCCGGGAGGUAGCGAACGUUAGAGGUCACGGUACGGUGAACUCCUUGGCGAGCAACCUUCAUCCUUUCCAAUUUGUUGCCGCGGAUUGUACUGAUGCGUGGCAGCGGCCACGGAAGCGAGACGAGCGUGAAAAAGGAGCGCGGGGCAACGACAACAACAACAGUGGCGGCUGAAUGGACGCGGCCGCUCAGAACGUAAAUCUUAUAUUUAUUAUUGCGGAAGCACGUUUUCGAGCAUACUGGUCGAUGGACUGUGGAUGUGUGUAACGGAGCCAUGGGAAAUUUUACGAGAACGUGCAUAAAUGCAGGAAUACGUAAAAUAUCAACGAUAGUGCACGUGUUAGAGAAGAUGAAACAUAUUUUUAUUUAUGUCUGAAUGAUCCGCAGUGAUCAAUUUAGUUCUGAAUAUUUGUACGUGGAAGUCGAGAUUAAUGCGGGACAGGAGUUUGAAAACAUUUUUAAUGGAAAUGAAGUUGAUAUGUUUCGGUUGAGAUGGAAUUCUUGGUACAGUGAAUCUCAUUCUUUUGUCCCUGCCUUUUUAUUUCUCUUGCGGGUAUGUAGUGAAUAUAUUAGUAAAUAAACGUAGAGGGUUAUGAAUUAUCCUAUAAUCACUUUCUUAGGAAAUAAAGAUUAGCAUUAUCUAUUAUACGUCCAGAUGUUAAUACGGCCAAUUUUUUUGUUGAAUAAAAUUAUCCUAGUAAAUCGUU
Long non-coding RNA from Hylaeus volcanicus, 4090 nucleotides. RefSeq lists it as uncharacterized. NCBI's taxonomy places the organism in Eukaryota, Metazoa, Arthropoda, Insecta, Hymenoptera, Colletidae. The transcript has 4 exons. The record is from RefSeq and is a predicted model, not a curated record.